GAUGAACGCUGGCGGCGUGCCUAAUACAUGCAAGUCGAGCGAACAGACGAGGAGCUUGCUCCUCUGACGUUAGCGGCGGACGGGUGAGUCACACGUGGAUAACCUACCUAUAAGACUGGGAUAACUUCGGGAAACCGGAGCUAAUACCGGAUAAUAUAUUGAACCGCAUGGUUCAAUAGUGAAAGACGGUUUUGCUGUCACUUAUAGAUGGAUCCGCGCCGCAUUAGCUAGUUGGUAAGGUAACGGCUUACCAAGGCAACGAUGCGUAGCCGACCUGAGAGGGUGAUCGGCCACACGGGAACUGAGACACGGUCCAGACUCCUACGGGAGGCAGCAGUAGGGAAUCUUCCGCAAUGGGCGAAAGCCUGACGGAGCAACGCCGCGUGAGUGAUGAAGGUCUUCGGAUCGUAAAACUCUGUUAUUAGGGAAGAACAAAUGUGUAAGUAACUAUGCACGUCUUGACGGUACCUAAUCAGAAAGCCACGGCUAACUACGUG
This 497-nucleotide ribosomal RNA is filed under the name uncultured bacterium. RNAcentral describes it as "partial 16S ribosomal RNA". It matches the Rfam family "Bacterial small subunit ribosomal RNA", at positions 28 to 507 of the family's 1533-position model. The record is from RNAcentral.